UACGAAGGUGGCAAGCGUUACUCGGAAUUACUAGGCGUAAAGGGCAGGUAGGCGGUCUCGUUAGUCUGUUGUGAAAGCUCCUUGCUUAACGGGGAGAGGCCAACAGAUACUGCGAGGCUUGAGUAUAGGAGAGGGUACUGGAAUUCCCGGUGUAGCGGUGAAAUGCGCAGAGAUCGGGAGGAACACCAAUGGCGAAAGCAGGUACCUGGACUAUUACUGACGCUCAGCUGCGAAAGCUAGGGGAGCAAAC
This 250-nucleotide ribosomal RNA is filed under the name uncultured bacterium. RNAcentral describes it as "partial 16S ribosomal RNA". It matches the Rfam family "Bacterial small subunit ribosomal RNA", at positions 524 to 773 of the family's 1533-position model. The record is from RNAcentral.